AUUGAACGCUGGCGGCAGGCCUAACACAUGCAAGUCGAGCGGAUGAAGGGAGCUUGCUCCUGGAUUCAGCGGCGGACGGGUGAGUAAUGCCUAGGAAUCUGCCUGGUAGUGGGGGAUAACAUCCGGAAACGGGCGCUAAUACCGCAUACGUCCUGAGGGAGAAAGUGGGGGAUCUUCGGACCUCUCGCUAUCAGAUGAGCCUAGGUCGGAUUAGCUAGUUGGUGGGGUAAAGGCCUACCAAGGCGACGAUCCGUAACUGGUCUGAGAGGAUGAUCAGUCACACUGGAACUGAGACACGGUCCAGACUCCUACGGGAGGCAGCAGUGGGGAAUAUUGGACAAUGGGCGAAAGCCUGAUCCAGCCAUGCCGCGUGUGUGAAGAAGGUCUUCGGAUUGUAAAGCACUUUAAGUUGGGAGGAAGGGCAGUAAGUUAAUACCUUGCUGUUUUGACGUUACCAACAGAAUAAGCACCGGCUAACUUCGUG
Molecule: ribosomal RNA, 484 nt
Filed under: uncultured bacterium
Lineage: Bacteria
Description: partial 16S ribosomal RNA
Rfam family: Bacterial small subunit ribosomal RNA
Source: RNAcentral